GGGUCCAAAAGAUGGGGACAAUUUAGAGAAGGACAUUGAAUGUUGCCAAUGUUGUCCUCAAGCUUGACGGUAAUAUACUUAAUGAUACAAUCGGUACAGAAUGGAUGGAUGCAGAGAUUUUGGUUCUUGAAUUUUUUGUUGGGUAACAACAUAGGCUCGAUACAAAUUUCGCAGGAAUACUAUGAAGACAUUACUGCAAAGAUUGAGGAAGGAGAUGGACCUUCUGAUAUUCCUUUAGAAAUGCAAGGUUAAAUUGUAGAAGCGUAGAAGAAACAGUGGAACUCACAUAAAGAAUGUGUUUGAAGUGAUGCAUUAGCUGCAAUCUUGAAAAGCAAAUUGAACACCACAGUUGGCCUUUGAAACAACUUUAAUUAGAAAACCAUAAUCUAUGAGAAUAUUGACUCAACUGUAC
Nicotiana attenuata is the source of this 412-nucleotide long non-coding RNA. RefSeq lists it as uncharacterized. The transcript has 3 exons. The record is from RefSeq and is a predicted model, not a curated record. Lineage: Eukaryota; Viridiplantae; Streptophyta; Magnoliopsida; Solanales; Solanaceae.